AGUGAACGCUGGCGGUAGGCCUAACACAUGCAAGUCGAACGGCAGCACAGGAGUGCUUUCUCUCUGGGUGGCGAGUGGCGGACGGGUGAGGAAUACAUCGGAAUCUGCCCAGUCGGGGGGGAUAACGUAGGGAAACUUACGCUAAUACCGCAUACGACCUUCGGGUUGAAGAGGGGGAUCGCAAUACCUCUCGCGAUUGUAUGAUCCGAUGUCGGGUGAGCUAGUUGGCGGGGUAAUGGCCCACCAAGGCGACGAUCCGUAGCUGGUCUGAGAGGAUGAUGAGCCACACUGGAACUGAGACACGGUCCAGACUCCUACGGGAGGCAGCAGUGGGGAAUAUUGGACAAUGGGCGCAAGCAUGAUCCAGCCAUACCGAGUGGGUGAAGAAGGCCUUCGGGUUGUAAAGCCCUUUUGUUGGGAAAGAAAUCUUUCAGGCUAAUACCCUGGGAGGAUGACGGUACCCAAAGAAUAAGCACCGGCUAACUUCGUG
RNAcentral lists this ribosomal RNA (490 nucleotides) under uncultured bacterium. RNAcentral describes it as "partial 16S ribosomal RNA". It matches the Rfam family "Bacterial small subunit ribosomal RNA", at positions 29 to 507 of the family's 1533-position model. The record is from RNAcentral.